AUUGAGUUAAAUACGGUUAAUUCUAGGGCGUGUUUGAUUCGCUUCUUUUUUACCUUAAAAUCGGAAUCGAAAUGUGCGAAUCCGUUUGUUGGUGUUUGGUAUAUGGGAGUUCCAUUCCGAUUCCGAUUUCCGAGUGGAAUGGGAAUCCUCCAAUCACCUAUUUUUUCAAUCCGGCCUAGGAGGCCGGAUUGAAAGUUGAAUCCGGACGUAAUGAAUAUUUAUUUGGAUUAAAUUUAUUUUUUCAACUUUUUAAUUAAAAUAUGAGUUUAAAUUUAGAAAUUAAAUAUAUAAUUAUAAAUUUUAAUUUGA
Molecule: long non-coding RNA, 309 nt
Filed under: Ananas comosus (pineapple)
Lineage: Eukaryota; Viridiplantae; Streptophyta; Magnoliopsida; Poales; Bromeliaceae
Description: long non-coding RNA (ACOM_LNC028322)
Source: RNAcentral